AGCAGUUCGAGCGGAUAGGNUCUCACUCUGUACUUAAAUUUUAUUGANUGCGCCNUUUAAAAUACACGAGCGGCGGACGGCUGAGNUAACGCGAUANNAAUGUACCCCAAAGUGAGGAAUAAGCCCGGGAAACCGGGUCUAAUGCCGCAUAAUCUCUUUUGAGGAAAGCCUUCGGGCGCUAUGGGAGCGGCCUGCGUAUGAUUAGCUUGNUGGUGAGGUAAAAGCUCACCAAGGCGACGAUCAUUAGCUGGUCUGAGAGGAUGACCAGCCAGACUGGGACUGAGAACGGCCCANACCCCUACGGGGGGCAGCAAUUAGGAAUCUUUCACAAUGGGGGAAACCCUGAUGGAGCAACGCCGCGUGCAGGAGGAAGGCCUUCGGGUUGUAAACUGCUUUUAUCUGUGAAGAUUAUGACGGUAGCAGAUGAAUAAGGACCGGCUAACUCCGUGCCAGCAGCCGCGGUCAUACGGAGGGUCCAAGCGUUAUCCGGAAUUACUGGGCGUAAAGAGUUGCGUAGGUGGCAUAGUAAGCAUACAGUGAAAUCGUGAGGCUCAACCUCAUAUCCAUUGUAUGAACUGCUAAGCUUGAGCAUGANANAGGUAGAUGGAAUUUCUAGUGUAGGAGUGAAAUCCGUAGAUAUUAGAAGGAACACCGAUGGCGUAUGCAGUCUACUGGCUCAUUGCUGACACUAAGGCACGAAAGCGUG
Molecule: ribosomal RNA, 706 nt
Filed under: uncultured bacterium
Lineage: Bacteria
Description: bacterial SSU rRNA
Rfam family: Bacterial small subunit ribosomal RNA
Source: RNAcentral